CAGCAGCCGCGGUAAUACCGGCGGCCCGAGUGGCGGUCACUCUUAUUGGGCUUAAAGCGUCCGUAGCCGGGUUGGGAAGUCCUCCGGGAAAUCUGGCCGCUUAACGGUCAGAAUGCCGGAGGAUACUCCCAGCCUAGGGAGCGGGAGAGGCCGAGGGGAUUCCCGGGGUAGGGGGGGAAUCCUAUAAUCCCGGGAGGACCACCUGUGGCGAAGGCGCUCGGCGGGAACGCGGCCGACGGUGAGGGACGAAGGCCAGGGGAGCAAACCGGAUUAGAUACCCGGGUAGUCCUGGCUGUAAACGAUGCGGACUUUGUGUCGGACAAGCUAUGAGCUUGUCCGGUGCCGGAGGGAAACCGUUAAGUCCGCCGCCUGGGGAGUACGGCCGCAAGGCUGAAACUUAAAGGAAUUGGCGGG
Molecule: ribosomal RNA, 414 nt
Filed under: uncultured microorganism
Description: bacterial SSU rRNA
Rfam family: Archaeal small subunit ribosomal RNA
Source: RNAcentral